Molecule: long non-coding RNA, 343 nt
Organism: Cygnus olor (mute swan)
Lineage: Eukaryota; Metazoa; Chordata; Aves; Anseriformes; Anatidae
Exons: 2
Source: RefSeq, a predicted model, not a curated record
CACGACUCUUUGGGCCCGGCUAGCCAGCCAGUUUUCAACCCAACGAAGCGUACGUCAGUCCAAGCCAUGAGCAGCCAGUUUCUUGAGGAGAAUGCUGUAGGAAACGGUGUCAAAAACCUUACUGAACUCAAGGUAGACCGCAUCCACAGCCUUUCCCUCGUCCACUAAGCGUGUCACUUUGUCAUAGAAGGAGAUCAGGCCCAGUCAGCAUGGGUUUAUGAAAGGCAUAUCCUCCUUGACGAACCUGAUCUCCUUCUAUGACAAAGUGACACGCUUAGUGGACGAGGGAAAGGCUGUGGAUGCGGUCUACCUUGAGUUCAGUAAGGUUUUUGACACCGUUUCC